RNAcentral lists this ribosomal RNA (448 nucleotides) under uncultured bacterium. Its description in RNAcentral is "SSU rRNA". It matches the Rfam family "Bacterial small subunit ribosomal RNA", at positions 26 to 518 of the family's 1533-position model. The record is from RNAcentral.
AGAGCGAACGCUGGCGGCAGGCCUAACACAUGCAAGUCGAGCGCCCGUAGCAAUACGGGAGCGGCAGACGGGAUAGUAACACGUGGGAACAUACCCUCCGGUUCGGAAUAACUCAGGGAAACUUGAGCUAAUACCGAAUACGGUCGAGAGGCGAAAGAUUUAUCGCCGGAGGAUUGGCCCGCGUUCGAUUAGCUAGUUGGUGAGGUAACGGCUCACCAAGGCGACGAUCGAUAGCUGGUCUGAGAGGAUGAUCAGCCACAUUGGGACUGAGACACGGCCCAAACUCCUACGGGAGGCAGCAGUGGGGAAUAUUGGACAAUGGGCGAAAGCCUGAUCCAGCCAUGCCGCGUGAGUGAUGACGGCCUUAGGGUUGUAAAGCUCUUUCGCUAGGGACGAUAAUGACGGUACCUAGACAAGAAGCCCCGGCUAACUUCGUGCCAGCAGCCGC